This is a long non-coding RNA of Cyprinus carpio (common carp), 1847 nucleotides long. The record is from Ensembl. Lineage: Eukaryota; Metazoa; Chordata; Actinopteri; Cypriniformes; Cyprinidae.
UUGUUAUUAUUUAUUAUGAAUAAAAUGAAAAAAAAGAAAAAAAAACAGCACAACAAUGUUAUUAUUUAUAAUGAAUGAAUGAAAUAAAAUAAAUCGCUUGUAUUCUUCAUUUGUACAUCGCUUUGGAUAAAAGCAACUGCAAAAUGAAUAAAACGUAAUUAAAUAAGUAUUUUCAUUAUGUUCAAUCAAAAUAAUGAACCUCUGAAACAACUUUCCCUUUCAGCUGAUGUCAUCAGUCCCUUCUCCAAUCACGUGACUCCAUUCCAAUAGGUGACGCCCACUUUUCAUGAUCCGGUCAGGUCCUCAUGGAAGAAAAGCCCUGCUCUACAUUGCUGUCAUUGAUUAGCCCGUUUCACUCAGAAAUGUGUCUCGUGAAAGGUAUUUCAGGUUGAAUUGUGAAUCUAAUAAAUGUCUGUACAGGGCUCUGCACAAAGGGCUCAUGAAGGAUGGCAAAUCCUUACACAUGAACGGAUUAUGACUCUUUAAUUGUCUGGAAGUGAGCAGCGGAGUUUGGUUUUUCCAAAUGAAACACUGCUUGUUUUCACGUCUCAUUCUCCAGUAUCUCUUCAGACUCGCUCAAGGAGAUGAUUUUGUAUUGGUGCUGUUUGAAUGUGUUUACAGUCCUGUUCUUGAUUUACGGUAUCAGCGGGUUCAACCUGCUCCUUACACUUCACUCUGCCCUCGAAUCAAAGGAACAGUUCACUCAAAAAUGAAAAAGAAAAUCCUUUAUACACCCACAUCUCCUUCAAAACCUGUUUUCUUUAGUGUGCCAAAAGUCACUGGGUUUGGGCCGAGGACUAAAAACAAGACUAGAAAACUAACAGAAGCUCUAAAUGAAGGUCACUGAGAAGAGCAUUAAGCUGCAGAAUCUAGCAGCAGCAGUCUGAGCCUGAAGUGUGUGUUUGUUUGGGAUGAUGACUGAUGCUGUAGUCAGUUCACCCGCACAGCUGUCCGCCUGCCUGCUGCGCUUCAUCUAUUCCCGCUCGGUCUGAGCUGGGCUGGUUGCCAUGGCGAUGACCCUGUCAUCACGUCCCUUCACCUGGGUAAACUAGUGAGUCAGGAGCAGCUCCGCUGGGGAGCGAGAGACAAAAGACAGCAUAUGGAGCCGCUCCUCCGACAACUACAGCAGAAAUCACACGGGCAGAGAGAGAGAGAGAGAGAGAGAGAGAGAGAUAUGGAUGGAUAGAGAUAUAGACUGAUGGAUGGAUGGAUAAAAAGUUGGGUAGAUAGAUUGAUGUAUAUACAGUAUGUAUGGAUGGAUGAAUGGACAGAUAGAUUGAUGUAGAAAUUGAUGGAUGGAUAUAUAGAUUGAUAGAUGGACAGAUGAUAGAUAGAUCGAUAUGGAGGGAUGGAUGAAUGGAUGGAUAAAUAGUUGUAUAGAUAGAUUGAUAUGGAGAUGGAUGGAAGGAUUGAUAAAUAGUUGGGUAGAUAGGUUUAUAUAGAGAUGUAUGGAUGGAUAAAUAGAUGGGUAGAUAGAUUGAUAGAGAGAUGGAUGGAUAGAUAGAGAUAUAGUUGGAGAGAUAGACUGAUAUAACGAUGGAUGGAUGGAUGGAUUGAUGGAUGGAUGGAUGAAUGGACAGAUAGAUUGAUGUAUAUACAGUAUGUAUGGAUGGAUAAAUAAUUGGAUAGAUUAAUGUAUGUAUUGAUGUAUGGAUGGAUGAAUGGAUGGAUAAAUAGCUGGGUAGAUAGAUUGAUGUGGAUAUAGAUGGAUGGAUGUAUAAAUGCAUAGAUAGAUGGAUAGACAGAUUGAUGUAGAGAUGGAUGGAUAGAGAUAUAGACUGAUGGAUGGAUGGAUGAAAGGAUGGAUAAAUAGUUAGGUAGAUAGAUUGAUGUGGAUAUAGAUGGAU